Long non-coding RNA from Falco peregrinus (peregrine falcon), 2163 nucleotides. RefSeq lists it as uncharacterized. Lineage: Eukaryota; Metazoa; Chordata; Aves; Falconiformes; Falconidae. The record is from RefSeq and is a predicted model, not a curated record. The transcript is spliced from 3 exons.
GCCUACGAGUCUCUCCUUUAGCUUGAGAUGUCUGUCAUUUUCAGUGAUUUUGUUUUCCUCAUUCCUCUGCUGAUAAAACACUGAGGUUUGUUUAACAAGUGUGCUGGAGCUUUCGGUGGCAUCUGGGGUUUCAGUUCCCAAAUCCCAUUGAAAUCUGGGAGGUGUUUCAGUGGAGAAAAACCUUUGCAAACCCUGAAGUCCUGACUGCUGAAUAAGACUUUUUUAGUUUGUUGGGUUUUUUUUCUUACAAAGUAAUGACAGACAUCACAGAAAGGGUUGUAGCAUGCUGGGUUCUCCCUUUGCGUGGGGCUGUGAGACAUGCAUGUGGUCUAGAGCUGGAAGAGGUGCUUCUCUUGCCCCCGUUCCUAAGAAGUCCAGUGAGGACAGUUGGCUGCAGAAGCCCUUGGGAGCAUCCCUGCUCUCUCUGGAGCUGGGACAGCUUGUCUGCAAUGCUGGGCUGGCUGGCCGUGGCUUUUGGGGUUUUCAGGCCACCUCCAUCCUCCCAGGACUUGGUGCUCUGCCCUGCGCCAGCUCCCUCACCUUCCAGUCUACAGAAGGCUGUCCUAGGUGGAUGUAUUCAUGGUACAGAAUGAUACCCUAUUAUUUGUAUUUCUUAUUCAUAUUAUCCCAUUAUUCUGGUAUUUUGUGCUUGCUUAUAUUUGGCAUGCAUUAUGUGCUUUUUCAGUAAUCGUUCUUCAAGGCGAGAGUUCCUGGAGGCCAGAAGAGGCCUCCCCUGGUAAUGGCAGGGCAAACUCCAGCAGAGCUGGGACUUCACAUCACCCCUCGCACGUAUUCUCUCCUUAAUGCUGACUAAUGGAUGUGCUGUCUUCAUUCAGGCUCCAGAGACCUUUCACCUCUGUCCAGCUGGGCUGCCCAGCGGCUAUGAAAUAGCAAAUACUUCGUACUAAAAAGAUGGGGUCAUGCCACACCUGCAUCUUAAUAGUGCCAGUCUUCAGGCCUCUUGACCUAAACCCUAGCCCACCCAGCUCCUGGUCACCACAGGGGAUCGAUGCUUCUGUAUUUGCAGGAUUAAUGCCUCUAAUUCCCGUUGCCAUCCCCACUGGCUGGCAUGGCAUGGUGCAGUUCAUGUGUUCCAGGCUGGUGGCUGAUUUGUGGGGCUUAUAAAGCACAGCUCAACAGUCACAAGCUAAAAACUCAGUCAGCAGAAGGCACCCAGCACUGCUUCGAGUUCUUUUUUUAGUGCAGUGAAGGAAAACUCUGUUACACGUGUCCAGAAUUAGUGUUUAAAAUGCUCGUUGUGGGAAUUCAGCAUUUCUGCUUUCGCUUUAUUUACACCUUUGUUCCCUAUUUCGGUUCAUUCCCUAGGCCUCCAUGUGUUUUCAAAGUCCGGGCAAGCAGCAGAGUGGCUGCAGACACGCACUGGCUCUGUGCUGAUCUCCCUGGCUCUUCAUCUGUCUCGGAGCUUGGUGAAAACCUGGUGUAAAAGCUGACGACUGCUUUGAAUCAGGGCUUUAGCCUGGUACUUUGUGGCUGGCGGAAUCGGAGUCCUGUUUGCUCCUCACCAUGUUUCUUUCACGAGGUUGUGGCUGAAUAUUGUGGUGCAAAAGCUGAAGUCCUGUCCUCCCGGGUACCAGUUCAGCGUUGUUUUGAGGUGGCAGUUCUGCCAAGUGGCAGUAACUGCAAAGCAUCCGCAUCCCCUCCCUCCCUGCCUGUCCAGGCCAUGUGGCAGAAGUGUUUCUAAAAUCUCUUCUUACCUUGGGAUAAAGUUGCCUUUUUGUGCGUAAACUGGAUAAAGAGAGAAUACGUGCCACAGCCCUUCUAAAAGUUGCCUUUCCUUUUACUGAAGGUUUAAAAUGUAGAAAUCCUCUUCAAGCUGCUUUUCAGGAAGAAGUGCUUAUUGAAACAGCCCGAGGCUGGGGAUGCAGAAGAUGCCAGGAGCAAGCAGCGCACAGAUACACGUGAGCGGCCUCAUCUGUUUUCUGUGUUCAGCUGUGUUCUUCGAGGCUGGUAGUCUGAGAUCCACUUGAUAUUGCUAUUAUUCUUCAGGUACCUAUUGGGAUUUUAAAGAUUAAAGGGCUUUGUCAGACUACUGAUGCACAAAACAUGGAUCUAGUUUAAAUAAAGAACUCGUGUGUGAUUGCAAAUGAAAUGUUUUCAUAAUUGAAAAGAGAAAACCCAAGUGUCCUCUUUAAAGCACCCCCC